RNAcentral lists this non-coding RNA (26 nucleotides) under Cricetulus griseus (Chinese hamster). Lineage: Eukaryota; Metazoa; Chordata; Mammalia; Rodentia; Cricetidae. The record is from RNAcentral.
AAGGACAGAAAAGUGAAGGCAAAAUC